Long non-coding RNA from Sebastes umbrosus (honeycomb rockfish), 1176 nucleotides. RefSeq lists it as uncharacterized. NCBI's taxonomy places the organism in Eukaryota, Metazoa, Chordata, Actinopteri, Perciformes, Sebastidae. The record is from RefSeq and is a predicted model, not a curated record. The transcript is spliced from 2 exons.
AGAAGCAGUAGGAACAGAAGCAGUAGUAGUAGUAGUAGUAGUAGCAGAAGGAGCAGCAGCAGAAACAGUAGUGGUAUUAGUAAUAGUUGUAGUAGUAGUAGUAGCUAGAACCUUUAAAACUGUAAGUCGUUAGACAGAAUAUAGUAGAUAGAGUUACUCUAUAGAGAUUUGAUUUUGACUUUUUUAAACCUGUCCUGAGUUCCCUGCUAAGAUACAGUUACCUUCUGGGGCUUGUGUGUGUUGAUUUCACAUCCACAUAUGGUGUAGUGUGAGCAAGCAAUGCCAAGUUUGUCUGUUAUUUAUCAGGAACAGUGCUUUAGAUUACAGUCCGCUAUAUUUUAAAUUGUUCAUUUUCUUGCUACUCUCUGUUGGGACCAUGCUUGUUGUUCUCAUUUUGAGUGAGGUGAUUAAAAGGAAAUUAGUUUUUCUGUAAUUAUUCUUGGGAAGUAGCCUAGUAAAAAAAAAGAAAAAAGAUGAAAUGUCCUAAAUCUCUUGCUUUUUCAUCAAGUACAGAAAGUAGUCUCCAGUGUUAAUAAUGUUAGUUUAUACUGGCUUUGACAGAUGCAUAAUUAAUGAAAUAUGCAACACCUGUGUAAUUAAAAACAUCUGUCUCUUGUUUGUCCACAUUACAGUAGCCUACUUUUACGCACUGACAUGUGUACUGCAUACUGCCAAUGAUUAGAAUGGGAUUGGUUAUUUCUACCAGCCUGUCUUAGAAUAAAGUGAAAUACUGCUUAGAUCUAAGUGUGCGGAUAUCUUUUCUAUCAUCUUUUGGAUGUACUGACAUGUUAAAAUGUUAUUUUUUUGUUUGAAAUCAACACUUUUCUAAACCAAACUAAAUCAUAUUUAUAAGUUAAACAACAAUUAUGUUAAACAUAGCUGCAAGCGGUGAUCAGUGGGGUCCAAACACAACUCUUUUCUUGUCAAGUUUCCGACUUUGGAAAAUGGUUUGAUCUAACUGUACCCUGAACUUUUAUUUCUUCUUCAGCGCUGACAAGUGGGAAAAAUAUAGACGUGGGAUCUAAGUAAAGCGAGGGCCACAAUGGAAAUAAGUCCUGUGGCUUUCUUGUGUUUUCCUUGAUGUUCUUUUAGUUGUGCAUGUACAUUGGUGUUGCAACCAUGUAAGUGUCUUUUUAAAAUGAAUUGUCAAAUAAACAAAAAAAGGGCUGGAUGAGA